UGAGGAAUAUUGGUCAAUGGGCGAGAGCCUGAACCAGCCAAGCCGCGUGAGGGAAGACGGUGCUAUGCAUUGUAAACCUCUUUUGUCGGGGAACAAAGAGCUCCAUGCGUGGGGCGUUGAGUGUACCCGAAGAAAAAGCAUCGGCUACCUCCGUGCCAGCAGCCGCGGUAAUACGGAGGAUGCGAGCGUUAUCAGGAUUUAUUGGGUUUAAAGGGUGCGUAGGCGGUGCAUUAAGUCAGCGGUAAAAGCCCGGGGCUCAACCCCGGCGAGCCGUUGAAACUGGUGUGCUUGAGAGGCCGAGAGGUAUGCGGAAUGCGCGGUGUAGCGGUGAAAUGCAUAGAUAUCGCGCAGAACUCCGAUUGCGAAGGCAGCAUACCGGCGGUCAUCUGACGCUGAGGCACGAAAGCGUGGGGAUCAAACAGG
Molecule: ribosomal RNA, 423 nt
Filed under: uncultured bacterium
Lineage: Bacteria
Description: bacterial SSU rRNA
Rfam family: Bacterial small subunit ribosomal RNA
Source: RNAcentral